CGGCAGCACGGAGAGCUUGCUCUCUGGUGGCGAGUGGCGAACGGGUGAGUAAUAUAUCGGAACGUGUCCAAUAAUGGGGGAUAACGAGUCGAAAGAUUCGCUAAUACCGCAUACGCCCUACGGGGGAAAGCAGGGGAUCGUAAGACCUUGCGUUAAUGGAGCGGCCGAUAUCUGAUUAGCUUGUUGGUGAGGUAAAGGCUCACCAAGGCGACGAUCAGUAGCUGGUUUGAGAGAACGACCAGCCACACUGGAACUGAGACACGGUCCAGACUCCUACGGGAGGCAGCAGUGGGGAAUUUUGGACAAUGGGGGCAACCCUGAUCCAGCCAUUCCGCGUGAGUGAAGAAGGCCUUCGGGUUGUAAAGCUCUUUCGCAAGGGAAGAAAACUUAUGAUCGAAUAAAUCAUGAGGUUGACGGUACCUUGAUAAGAAGCACCGGCUAACUACGUGCCAGCAGCCGCGGUAAUACGUAGGGUGCGAGCGUUAAUCGGAAUCACUGGGCGUAAAGCGUGCG
RNAcentral lists this ribosomal RNA (513 nucleotides) under uncultured beta proteobacterium. RNAcentral's name for it is "bacterial SSU rRNA". It matches the Rfam family "Bacterial small subunit ribosomal RNA", at positions 67 to 571 of the family's 1533-position model. Lineage: Bacteria; Pseudomonadati; Pseudomonadota; Betaproteobacteria. The record is from RNAcentral.